GACGAACGCUGGCGGCGUGCUUAACACAUGCAAGUCGAACGGUAAGGCCCUUCGGGGUACACGAGUGGCGAACGGGUGAGUAACACGUGGGUGAUAUGCCCUGCACUUCGGGAUAAGCCUGGGAAACUGGGUCUAAUACCGGAUAGGACCACUGCCUGCAUGGGUGGUGGUGGAAAGCUUUUGCGGUGUGGGAUGGGCCCGCGGCCUAUCAGGUUGUUGGUGGGGUGAUGGCCUACCAAGGCGACGACGGGUAGCCGGCCUGAGAGGGUGACCGGCCACACUGGGACUGAGAUACGGCCCAGACUCCUACGGGAGGCAGCAGUGAGGAAUAUUGCACAAUGGGCGCAAGACUGAUGCAGCGACGCCGCGUGAGGGAUGACGGCCUUCGGGUUGUAAACCUCUUUCAGCACCGACGAAGCGCAAGUGACGGUAGGUGCAGAAGAAGGACCGGCCAACUACGUGCCAGCAGCCGCGGUAA
This 478-nucleotide ribosomal RNA is filed under the name uncultured bacterium. Its description in RNAcentral is "partial 16S ribosomal RNA". It matches the Rfam family "Bacterial small subunit ribosomal RNA", at positions 28 to 523 of the family's 1533-position model. The record is from RNAcentral.